AGUGAACGCCGGCGGUAGGCCUAACACAUGCAAGUCGAACGGCAGCACAGUAAGAGCUUGCUCUUACGGGUGGCGAGUGGCGGACGGGUGAGGAAUACAUCGGAAUCUACUUUUUCGUGGGGGAUAACGUAGGGAAACUUACGCUAAUACCGCAUACGACCUACGGGUGAAAGCAGGGGAUCUUCGGACCUUGCGCGAUUGAAUGAGCCGAUGUCGGAUUAGCUAGUUGGCGGGGUAAAGGCCCACCAAGGCGACGAUCCGUAGCUGGUCUGAGAGGGUGAUCAGCCACACUGGAACUGAGACACGGUCCAGACUCCUACGGGAGGCAGCAGUGGGGAAUAUUGGACAAUGGGCGCAAGCCUGAUCCAGCCAUACCGCGUGGGUGAAGAAGGCCUUCGGGUUGUAAAGCCCUUUUGUUGGGAAAGAAAAGCAGCAGGUUAAUACCCCGCUGUUCUGACGGUACCCAAAGAAUAAGCACCGGCUAACUUCGUG
Molecule: ribosomal RNA, 492 nt
Filed under: uncultured bacterium
Lineage: Bacteria
Description: partial 16S ribosomal RNA
Rfam family: Bacterial small subunit ribosomal RNA
Source: RNAcentral